GACGAACCGUGCGAACGUUGUUCGGAAUCACUGGGCUUAAAGGGCGCGUAGGCGGCCGGGUUGGUCGUGGGUGAAAUCCCCCAGCUUAACUGGGGAAGGGCCUACGAUACUGCCUGGCUCGAGGGAGGAAGGGGCGGUCGGAACUGUCGGUGGAGCGGUGAAAUGCGUUGAUAUCGACAGGAACGCCGGUGGCGAAAGCGGACCGCUGGCCCUCUUCUAACGCUGAGGCGCGAAAGCCAGGGGAGCAAACGGG
Molecule: ribosomal RNA, 253 nt
Filed under: uncultured bacterium
Lineage: Bacteria
Description: partial 16S ribosomal RNA
Rfam family: Bacterial small subunit ribosomal RNA
Source: RNAcentral